AGUUACUUAACUAAUAAAGUGUUUACUUUGAAAGUAGACUAUAGGGAUACCUAGUGUUCUU
Molecule: transfer RNA, 61 nt
Filed under: Tityus serrulatus (Brazilian scorpion)
Lineage: Eukaryota; Metazoa; Arthropoda; Arachnida; Scorpiones; Buthidae
Description: tRNA-Ser
Source: RNAcentral